ACUUUUAAAGGAUAAUAGUAAUCCACUGGUUUUAGGAACCAAAAAUUCUUGGUGCAACCCCAUGUGAAAGUU
RNAcentral lists this transfer RNA (72 nucleotides) under Batrachuperus yenyuanensis (Yenyuan stream salamander). RNAcentral describes it as "tRNA-Leu". It matches the Rfam family "tRNA". From Rfam's summary of the family: Transfer RNA (tRNA) molecules are approximately 80 nucleotides in length. Lineage: Eukaryota; Metazoa; Chordata; Amphibia; Caudata; Hynobiidae. The record is from RNAcentral.